This 542-nucleotide long non-coding RNA is filed under the name Eucalyptus grandis. RNAcentral's name for it is "long non-coding RNA (EGRA_LNC002414)". Lineage: Eukaryota; Viridiplantae; Streptophyta; Magnoliopsida; Myrtales; Myrtaceae. The record is from RNAcentral.
UGAAAAUCCAUGUGAAAACUUAGAUUAGCUGGAUAGUGAGGAUGAUUGGAAAUAAAAUUCAUAGGCUGGGGUCGGUGUUUUGCUGCAAGUUACAAUUAGGGGAUUUCAAGUUGAGUCUGCAAUCAGUGAUGGCUCUCACAGGGUAUGAAGUCAUAAUCAAAAUCAGGACUUAAUGACAGCACAGUGAAGAUUUAACAUCUCCCGGCCAUUGGACAUACUUUAUCUUUGUCGUGUGUUGCUUGAUGGAGUAUAAAUUUGCAGUACUGUAAUGCAUUAUGACUAUUCCUUGACUUGUUUCGCAUAAUGAGUGAAUAUAAUGUGGAUGAUAGAGGCUUGAAUUAGCUGGGGAAGACUUAGUAUCUUUAAGUUGGAAGUCGUAGUGGAUUAUUCAGCUUCAAUGGUAGUUUCAAGAAAUUUUGUUGGGUGUUUUGGAGUGAUGUCGCAGCCGCUUCAGUUAAAAGGGGCACUGCUUCAGCUUUGUCCUUUUUUUUUUCCUUAAACGCUAAAUCUGCUGAUUUUGUGACUUCCGAUAUUUGUUCUUG